Long non-coding RNA from Drosophila arizonae, 600 nucleotides. The record is from RefSeq and is a predicted model, not a curated record. Lineage: Eukaryota; Metazoa; Arthropoda; Insecta; Diptera; Drosophilidae.
CAGCAACGGCAGCGUCAACAGCGACAGCGACAGCGACAGCGACAGCGCUUUGCAUUGCGAAGGCCGACGACAAACAUUUGAUGCUGCUGGCGUUUUGAUACUUGUUCGUACUUGCAGAACCCUCCACGACUCGCGAUAAACGGCAGCGCAGCACUGUGUCGAGUGUCGAGUGUCGAGUCCAGCGUAGCAGUCAUAAGCCAGUCGAUUUAUUAAAUGUUGCUGAAAACGCAGUCAACAGAAUAUUAAACCCAAAAUCCAACUGUUUGUUUACCCUGUAAAAAUUCAAGAAAAAUAGUACGCGUUUCUUUACUUAUUUGCAAGCCCACCAUUGGGCCAUUUCAAACUGGCACAUCAAUUUUGGUUUUCCUAUCCGCCACCUGGCGCUGGCGGCGGCUCCUCAAGUGAGUUGCAUACAGCAAAACAGCGCAAACCGACGAGGAAAAGCAACGCGAUCGUCAGCGCAACGAACGUGAGGCCAAAAAGGAAGAGCAGGACGCUAUCAAUUACAAGGUGAGUGUGUCAGUGUGCGAGUCUAUCCGCUCUCCGCUCUCCGCUCUCCCUCUUUCCCUCUCUCUCUCUCCCUCACUGUCACCCUGUCUG